This 254-nucleotide ribosomal RNA is filed under the name uncultured bacterium. RNAcentral's name for it is "partial 16S ribosomal RNA". It matches the Rfam family "Bacterial small subunit ribosomal RNA", at positions 15 to 257 of the family's 1533-position model. The record is from RNAcentral.
GAUCCUGGCUCAGGAUGAACGCUAGCUACAGGCUUAACACAUGCAAGUCGAGGGGCGAUCAGUUUGGUUUGCUUGCAAACCAAAGCUGGCGACCGGCGCACGGGUGAGUAACACGUAUCCAACCUGCCUCAUACUCGGGGAUAGCCUUUCGAAAGAAAGAUUAAUAUCCGAUAGCAUAUAUUUUCCCGCAUGGGUUUUAUAUUAAAGAAAUUCGGUAUGAGAUGGGGAUGCGUUCCAUUAGUUUGUUGGGGGGG